GACGAACGCUGGCGGCGUGCCUAAUACAUGCAAGUCGAACGCAUUUUCUUUCACCGUAGCUUGCUACACCGAAAGAAAAUGAGUGGCGAACGGGUGAGUAACACGUGGGUAACCUGCCCAUCAGCGGGGGAUAACACUUGGAAACAGGUGCUAAUACCGCAUAAUUCCAUUUACUGCAUGGUAGAUGGAUGAAAGGCGCUUUUGCGUCACUGAUGGAUGGACCCGCGGUGCAUUAGCUAGUUGGUGGGGUAACGGCCUACCAAGGCUGCGAUGCAUAGCCGACCUGUGAGUGUGAUCGGCCACACUGGGACUGAGACACGGCCCAGACUCCUACGGGAGGCAGCAGUAGGGAAUCUUCGGCAAUGGACGCAAGUCUGACCGAGCAACGCCGCGUGAGUGAAGAAGGUUUUCGGAUCGUAAAACUCUGUUGUUAGAAAAGAACAAGGAUGAGAGUGGAAAGUUCAUCCCUUGACGGUAUCUAACCAGAAAGCCACGGUUAACUACGUGCCAGCCGCCGCAGUAA
Molecule: ribosomal RNA, 523 nt
Filed under: uncultured bacterium
Lineage: Bacteria
Description: partial 16S ribosomal RNA
Rfam family: Bacterial small subunit ribosomal RNA
Source: RNAcentral